GAUGAACGCUGGCGGCGUGCCUAAUACAUGCAAGUCGAGCGAACAGACGAGGAGCUUGCUCCUCUGACGUUAGCGGCGGACGGGUGAGUAACACGUGGAUAACCUACCUAUAAGACUGGGAUAACUUCGGGAAACCGGAGCUAAUACCGGAUAAUAUAUUGAACCGCAUGGUUCAAUAGUGAAAGACGGUUUUGCUGUCACUUAUAGAUGGAUCCGCGCCGCAUUAGCUAGUUGGUAAGGUAACGGCUUACCAAGGCAACGAUGCGUAGCCGACCUGAUAGGUGGGUCGGCCACACGGGAACUGGGACACGGUCCAGACUCCUACGGGAGGCAGCAGUAGGGAAUCGUCCGCAAUGGUCGAGAGCCUGACGGAGCAACGCCGCGUGAGUGAUGAAGGUCUUCGGAUCGUAAAACUCUGUUAUUAGGUAUGAACAAAUGUGUAAGGAACUAUGCACUUCUUGACGGUACCUAAUCAGAAAGCCACGGCUAACUACGUG
This 497-nucleotide ribosomal RNA is filed under the name uncultured bacterium. Its description in RNAcentral is "partial 16S ribosomal RNA". It matches the Rfam family "Bacterial small subunit ribosomal RNA", at positions 28 to 507 of the family's 1533-position model. The record is from RNAcentral.